This 73-nucleotide transfer RNA is filed under the name Natronosporangium hydrolyticum. It matches the Rfam family "tRNA". Rfam says of the family: Transfer RNA (tRNA) molecules are approximately 80 nucleotides in length. The record is from Rfam by way of RNAcentral. Lineage: Bacteria; Bacillati; Actinomycetota; Actinomycetes; Micromonosporales; Micromonosporaceae.
GGCCCCGUAGCUCAGGGGAUAGAGCAGCGGUCUUCUAAACCGUCGGUCGUAGGUUCGAUUCCUACCGGGGCCG